This 930-nucleotide long non-coding RNA is filed under the name Cottoperca gobio. RNAcentral's name for it is "lncRNA (ENSCGOG00000009186.1)". Lineage: Eukaryota; Metazoa; Chordata; Actinopteri; Perciformes; Bovichtidae. The record is from RNAcentral.
CUGCUCCAACUAUGGCUCAGUGCGGCUCAGGCUCUUCACAGGAGCGCAUCGUAUCAGCUACAGAGACGCUAGUUGGAGCUCCAGCAGAAACCAUCACUGCACUGGAGCACAAGCAGGAACCAGCUUCUUGUAUUGCUUAUUGGAUAUAAUCACAAUGAUCGAUCUGCUUGAUUUUGCCAAAGCAGCAAUCACUUUACUCAAGGAUUCUUUGGACGCAUAAAGAGGAUUAAAUGCUGCGGUUACAGCACUGACACACGUGGAGGACUUAUUAUUAUUGUUGUUAUUUUUAUUAUUAUGUAUGGUUAAACGUUAUGAUGGCAACAGCUGAUGGAUUCAACACUCCAGCUGUGAAUCGUCCUGUAGGAUAUGAGGAAAUACUGUCUCUUACACUGGAUAUGUGGUGUCCAUUUCUCCUGCUGCCCAAGUCCUUCUGCUGGACAAGCCGUUUGUUGGACAGACGAGUCUCUUGGGAUAGUUCACGCGUGUGGCCAGUGUCAUAGAUGGCCACUACAAUGAAAUGAUUUCUGAAAUCGAUAUUUCUUGCGGUGGAUAUUGGCACAAGGAAAGGAAUAUCAUGGAAUAUAUUUUGAAAGCGAUGCUCAGCAGAUGUCCAGCUGUUUGGAUAAUGACAGAACGCAUCUCUUCAUCCAGCAGUGAAGGAAUCCAAAUUCUUGGAAUGAGAUGUCAACCUUUAAUUGCUUCCCAGGGAUCCUUUGAUUCUCUGCUGGAUGUGGUCCAUCAUGUGAUUUUCAUUGGAGGGUGGCCGGAGGAGACGACCACAGUAAAAGCAAGUGAGCGUGUGUGUUUGUGUGUCAUCUGGCCUUGUUAAUAAAUGCAGGUUGUUUUCCAUCUGGGGGUCAUCAGUUGUGGUCAUCACAUAUUGUACACAAGUGGAAGAGAGGGGGGCUCUUGUGUGUGCUUGUUUGUGUG